This 253-nucleotide ribosomal RNA is filed under the name uncultured bacterium. RNAcentral describes it as "partial 16S ribosomal RNA". It matches the Rfam family "Bacterial small subunit ribosomal RNA", at positions 524 to 776 of the family's 1533-position model. The record is from RNAcentral.
UACGUAGGGGGCAAGCGUUGUCCGGAAUCAUUGGGCGUAAAGCGCGUGUAGGCGGCCAGAAAAGUCCGCUGUGAAAACUCGAGGCUCAACCUCGAGCUGUCGGUGGAAACUUUCUGGCUAGAGUCCGGAAGAGGAGAAUGGAAUUCCUGGUGUAGCGGUGAAAUGCGCAGAUAUCGGGAGGAACACCGGUGGCGAAGGCGGUUCUCUGGGCCUUACCUGACGCUGAGGAGCGAAAGCGUGGGGAGCGAACAGG